This is a long non-coding RNA of Rhododendron vialii, 533 nucleotides long. RefSeq lists it as uncharacterized. The transcript is spliced from 2 exons. The record is from RefSeq and is a predicted model, not a curated record. NCBI's taxonomy places the organism in Eukaryota, Viridiplantae, Streptophyta, Magnoliopsida, Ericales, Ericaceae.
GAUUCUAAUUUCUUCUUUUUCCUUUUUCUUGCGUCUUCUCCUCUGUCUCUUUUACCUCUCUCAAACCCUCAUGGUUCAAAUGCUAAAUUGAAGGCCAAGGUUCGUGAAUCUCGCAACAAGGCAACAAGGAAACGUGAUCUACGGACAAAGGGCUGCGCAUUUAUCCGAACAAAAUUUCAAUCGGUCAAAUUUCGGGAUUUCAACAUUUUGGGGGUUUUCAUCUUUGAGGUUCGAAAGGCAAGGAUACGCUUUGAUGGACACGGUGAUGGAGAUAUCUUUUGUGCUUUGGCGAGUCGAUCUGCAUGAUAUUUUAUUGGGUCUUAAAAGCUAUCUUUGGACUAUAUGUAUAUGUUUUUGACUUUGAGAAUGUAAUGAUAAAUGUUAAAUUCCCCUCUAGAAAUGCUUGUUAUGUCUUUUAGACAAGGAAGAAGGAAAACUUGUUCCUCCUUUUGUAAUUGGAGUUGUAUGGUUUAAGUGGUGUUUUGGGUGCCUUGGUGGCUAAUCAAAAAAAAAAAAAAUUGAAAUGUUUGGAA